RNAcentral lists this long non-coding RNA (338 nucleotides) under Nicotiana benthamiana. RNAcentral describes it as "long non-coding RNA (NBEN_LNC029271)". The record is from RNAcentral. Lineage: Eukaryota; Viridiplantae; Streptophyta; Magnoliopsida; Solanales; Solanaceae.
UCAUUUGGUUUAAUUCUAGUCUCUAGUAGUACUCUUUUUCAUUGUCCAGGUAUGGGGAAAUGAUACCGAAAAUAACAAUGAUAAUAAUAAUACUGAAAUAAAAUAACUUUAGCAGAAAUGCAUCAACUGGCUUGAGUCUUGUGAGCAUUGUCCUAAGAAAUUAUUUCAGUAGUGUAAAAUAUUUCUCCAGGAUUAAACAAGCCUACCUCUAUUAAGGAGGAUACAGGAAGCAGUAAAAUUAAAUAUUAUAAAUCCAGCUAGAAGGAAAGAAACUAAUAUUAAAUAUUAAUUAAAUAAUAUUGAAAAGAAAAUUUGAUAGGAAGAGGAGAGAGAUGUAU